GUAGCUUCAAAUCACCCCGUCUCUCUCUCUCUCUCUCUCUCUCUCUCUCUCUCUCUCUCUUAUCUGUCCGGUGAGAUCUGUGGAUCUCCGGUGACCCUGCAUUACCUACCGACCACUUGAACCGUCGUUGCAGGCUUUCUCGCAAUCCUUAACACUCCGGUUGUCACUCCCUUUCGUGCACCAGAGUCAAACAUAACAUCACCGCCGACCACCAGCAUCGUCACAACCGAGAACCCAAAUAAGGUUUGCAAAAUCGAUUACAAGUUACAAAUAAUGUCGAUAUUCGUAUGUUUGGAUCUGCCUACGAAUCCCAACCAUGAAGGUGUGUUUGUGCGAGAUCUUUUCUUCAAUAGGAUCAUAUGGCGAUUAUCUCUAUCUUUGUUAGAAUUGGUGGUCUCGGAAUUAUACAUUUGCAGGUGAUUGUGGAAACAAGUUCACACUUGCAGGUGAUUGAGCAUCCACAACAGGAUCAGUUUCAGAUGCAGGUGAUUGUGGAAAUAGAGGUUCUUCAUCUUGAACAAUCAUGUGUCCAAAUAAAGGAGCAUCGAGUCCAGUACCACGAAAUCUCAUCAUAUUUGCAAAAACCUUGGGCUUCAAAUGAGAUAAAUCUAAAGAACUUCCUUCAUGAACCAAGUUGGGAAAAUUCUGAUUGAAAAUGUGUUGCAGAAAUCGUGGAGACAAUAAAAACUUUGAUUCUGAUUGAAUAUGAUUGGAUAGUUCAUACACUACUAGAAAAUUGAAAAAAAUGGUAGUAAAUUUAGCCACCGAUUUGCCACGGAAAAGAAAAUUAGUGUAUUUAUCAUGAUAUGGUAGCAAAGCGGUUGCAAUUUUUGCCACCUUUUUAUUUUCGGUGGCAAUUUUUGGGAAAAAUACGCUAAAGCAUGAAAAAUAAAAAGGUAUUUGUUAAUUGUGACCAUGUUAUCGGUGACAACAUAAAAAUUCAAAUUGACGGAUUUUUUUAUAGAUCUGCACGCUUCAAAAGUCUAUUAAUUAGGGUUCCAGCCAAAUAACUCUCCUCCAAAAUUUUAAUCCCUGCUUCUCACCCGCUCCCCUGCGUCAAGCCAUUCAAAGAACCCUGCUUCCAUACAUUUGCUCUGAUCGAUUUGGCGGUCUUCCAUGGUAGAUUCGUAAACAUCUCCAUAUAUUCAAGUGCAGAGCUGCGCUAUGUUGUGCGAUAUGUACUAUGGCUUAUGAGACAAAUGAGGAAGGGGAUAAUCUCAAGGCAUCAGCAUAUUCCUCACUUGUAUGAAGCUCUAAUUUUUGUUUUUUACAUCUUUUUUGUGCUCUUGUUGUGAUAUUUUGUUGGAUUAGAAGAGAUUGCAGUAGCAGGCAAUGUAAAUAAAGUCUGACAACCGACAUAAAUAAAGUCUGACAACGAACCUUAUACUGGAGUAUUAUGAAUCUUUACUCCAGAAACUUGAAUAACAAAAUGAGAUGGAUAUUUCAUAUGCUGUGAACAAAUCUCCAAAGAAAAAUAAAAAAUUGAAAAAGAUGCAAGCCAAGCUGGAUAAAAGUCUCAAAGAAAAGGAGUUGGUGGAUGAUUUUAAUGAAAGUCUUUUGAGAAACAAGGAGAUAUGACAAAAGAUCAUUGUGAAAACUGAAGACAGGUGUGUUCCGAUUUAAGGUAAACUUGGUUAUCAAGGAGCUCGUUGAGGAAAAGGACGAAGAAGAAGAAAAGUUGAAUAGAAUUAUUGCGGGGCCGUCGACUGAAAAAGAAAAAAGAUAAGGUGGAUAAAGAUACUAUGCUCGAUAGGAUAUCACAAGUUGAAGCUACGUUAACAGCUAUUGUUCUAAGAUAUGUUAUAAACACUUAGUUUUGAAUG
This is a long non-coding RNA of Helianthus annuus (common sunflower), 1823 nucleotides long. RefSeq lists it as uncharacterized. The record is from RefSeq and is a predicted model, not a curated record. NCBI's taxonomy places the organism in Eukaryota, Viridiplantae, Streptophyta, Magnoliopsida, Asterales, Asteraceae. The transcript has 6 exons.